CUACGGGUUGCUGCAGUGGGGAAUAUUGGACAAUGGGGGAAACCCUGAUCCAGCAAUGCCGCGUGUGUGAAGAAGGCCUGCGGGUUGUAAAGCACUUUCGGUUGGGAGGACUGCUUCUAGCACUAAUAUUGUUGGAAGUUGACGUUACCUUCAGAAGAAGCACCGGCUAACUCCGUGCCAGCAGCCACGGUAAUACGGAGGGUGCAUGCGUUAAUCGGAAUUACUGGGCGUAAAGCGCGCGUAGGCGGCUAGAUCAGUCGGGUGUGAAAGCCCCGGGCUUAACCUGGGAACUGCAUCCGAUACUGUCUAGCUUGAGUACAGGAGAGGAGAGUGGAAUUCCACAUGUAGCGGUGAAAUGCGUAGAUAUGUGGAGGAACACCAAUGGCGAAGGCAGCUCUCUGGCCUGAUACUGACGCUGAGGUGCGAAAGCGUGGGGAGCAAACAGGAUUAGAUACCCUUGUAGUC
RNAcentral lists this ribosomal RNA (465 nucleotides) under uncultured bacterium. Its description in RNAcentral is "partial 16S ribosomal RNA". It matches the Rfam family "Bacterial small subunit ribosomal RNA", at positions 339 to 795 of the family's 1533-position model. The record is from RNAcentral.